AUUGAACGCUGGCGGCAGGCCUAACACAUGCAAGUCGAACGGUAACAGGAAGAAGCUUGCUUCUUUGCUGACGAGUGGCGGACGGGUGAGUAAUGUCUGGGAAACUGCCUGAUGGAGGGGGAUAACUACUGGAAACGGUAGCUAAUACCGCAUACCGUCGCAAGACCAAAGAGGGGGACCUUCGGGCCUCUAGCCAUCGGAUGUGCCCAGAUGGGAUUAGCUAGUAGGUGGGGUAACGGCUCACCUAGGCGACGAUCCCUAGCGGGUCUGAGAGGAUGACCAGCCACACUGGAACUGAGACACGGUCCAGACUCCUCAGAGAGGCAGCAGUGGGGAUUAUUGCACAUUGGGCGCAAGCCUGAUGCAGCCAUGCCGCGUGUAUGAAGAAGACCUUCGGGUUGGAAAGUACUUUCAGCGGGGAGGAAGGGAGUAAAGUUAAUACCUUUGCUCAUUGACGUUACCCGCAGAAGAAGCACCGGCUAACUCCGUG
RNAcentral lists this ribosomal RNA (490 nucleotides) under uncultured bacterium. RNAcentral's name for it is "partial 16S ribosomal RNA". It matches the Rfam family "Bacterial small subunit ribosomal RNA", at positions 30 to 507 of the family's 1533-position model. The record is from RNAcentral.